CUACGGGGUGCUGCAGUGGGGAAUCUUGCGCAAUGGGCGAAAGCCUGACGCAGCAACGCCGCGUGCGGGAAGAAUGCCCUUUGGGCUGUAAACCGCUUUCAGCAGGAACGAAAAUGACGGUACCUGCAGAAGAAGAAGCGGCCAACUAUGUGCCAGCAGCCGCGGUGAUACAUAGGCUUCGAGCGUUGUCCGGAUUUAUUGGGCGUAAAGAGUUCGUAGGCGGUUAAGUAAGUCGGGUGUGAAAAUUCUGGGCUCAACCCAGAAACGCCACCCGAUACUGCUUGACUUGAGUUCGACAGGGGAGUGGGGAAUUCCCAGUGUAGCGGUGAAAUGCGCAGAUAUUAGGAGGAACACCGGUGGCGAAGGCGCCACUCUGGGUCGACACUGACGCUGAGGAACGAAAGCAUGGGUAGCAAACAGGAUUAGAUACCCCCGUAGUC
This 440-nucleotide ribosomal RNA is filed under the name uncultured bacterium. Its description in RNAcentral is "partial 16S ribosomal RNA". It matches the Rfam family "Bacterial small subunit ribosomal RNA", at positions 339 to 795 of the family's 1533-position model. The record is from RNAcentral.